This is a long non-coding RNA of Triticum dicoccoides, 2164 nucleotides long. RefSeq lists it as uncharacterized. The record is from RefSeq and is a predicted model, not a curated record. The transcript is spliced from 5 exons. Lineage: Eukaryota; Viridiplantae; Streptophyta; Magnoliopsida; Poales; Poaceae.
GCUUGUGGUGGAGGGCUUGAUGAUGGUGAUGAUGGAGGAGGCUGCUCGUUAGUUGGUUCCACUGGAGGUGCUGUGGGUGGGCUCGAUGGAGGUGAUGGGGGAAUGGAUGGAGGAUUCAGUGAAGGUGGUGGCGGUUGAUUGUUAGGUUCGUAUGUUGGAGGUGUAACAGGGGGAGUAGAUAGAGGUGUUUGUGAGGUGGCUGGAGCUUGUGGUGAGGGGCUAGAUGGUGAUGGCGGUGGAGGAGAUUGAGUGCUAGGUUGAUAGGGCGGUGGUGUAGUAGGACUAGAAUCUAAUGGAGAUGGAGGUGGCUGAGUAUUAGUUUGGUCGGUUGGAGCCAUGGGUGGAGAAUAAGAUGGGGACGACGGUGGUGAUGGCGUACCAUUACCUUGGUCUGGUGAAGGCCCAGCUCCAUCAGGCGAUGACGGUGUUGUCUCUGCAUCGUCGCAAUCCUUGUUUGGUGGUCCUCGACCUUUGUUGGUCGGGCCAUCCUUGUCGUGGGGAUGCGGACCACGUCCUGGCUUGGGGCAAUGUGGAUUUUUCACUGGCCCUACACCAUUGGAUUUAUGAUCACCACUCCCAUGGGAGCCCUUCCCAUUUCCACCAGCAGAGCCCUUGUCAUCAGCUUGGGAUACAUGGGCAGCAAUCACAAGAAUCAGGAGGGGAAGAACUACAACUAGCAGUGAUCUCAUCGUAGGAUGAGAACGCUGAACCUAAAUACCGACCAGAGAGAGCUGUUUUUGUUGGCUUGCGGGUUUGUGCAGAAUGGGAAGCAACGCUAGCCAUUUAUAGUGGUGGUGACCUUGGUAAUGGCUACGUUUUGCUAGAUCCGCAGAAGCUUCUGACACUGUCACGCACCGUCCACUGUGUUCUGACAUUUGUUAAUUCUCAGGAUCCAUGGUUCUCCGUGCACAGCAUCUUUGCCUAGAUCACAGGGCCAUUCAUGUAACUGACAGUUAAUGCCACACGAGUGGUGACCUGUUGACCAGGAGAAGCAGACCUUGGGUGGCGUCGGCAGAUUCCAAAUGGAGCUGUCAAAAAUGCCAGGCUGAUCAGAUCUGGAGAUGGAAUUCUUUCAUUUGAUCGGUUUUCUUCUGACUCAUGGCAUGAAUAAAUGGAGAGUACCAAAUGAUAAGCGAAAGAACCGGUAUUAACAGCGUAGCCACGGGGUCGCAAGGAGACAAAUUGUAGGCAUACAUUUCGGAUAAUUCUAUUUGCAAGUGCCUGUGCUCCUUAUUUUCAGGUCAGUUUACUGUUUUCUAGAAUCUAUACUGCUUCUUGGCUACUUUUCUUUGUUCCCUGCAGGGAAUCAAGCAGUUCUUCGGCGGGGUAAGAGUCUCACAAUGCAAGGCAAACCAUUGUUUUAUGUGGCCAUGUUUUUUCUUAAUUUCUGGAGAUUGUUGGGCAAUUCUGAUAAGUUAAGAAACAGAACUGAAGUGUGAUAGUUGAAGAAAUAAGCUCAGAUAUACUCUCUUCUUUUUUCGGAUGCUGCAUAGUGUCACGACUGGCUACUUGAGAGUCCAUUGCCACGGAUGGUUCUGGAGCCAACAAUUCCAGUGACCCGCCGGAUAUCAGAAGCUCACUGUCUGGCAUCUCAAUGCUCUCAAGCCGCGAAGGCAUGCGGCAUGCGGCCAUUUUCAGGAAAAGGAGUUUCAGGGGGCAUCAGAUUAUAUAAACAGAAAGGAUGGUAGAGGAACACGAACUGGUGAUGGCUGGGCCUCUGAAGCAAAGGGCCGGGCAAGCUUCAUCUGUUUUUAUGUCGUGUAGAAAAAUCCCGGCCCUUUUCUUUGACAAGGCAGAAGAAUGAUUGUGCAGCGGUGCAUAACAGAAACACUGAAUAGCACAAGCUGACCAGACCUUCACAAGAACCUACCGAAUUAGGGUUUUCGAGGCGGUGGCGUGUCUGGCUAAUGUACCAUUGGGCAAUGGCAUAUUAUAGUGGCAAUUACGGGAUAUGAUCGUAUCGUUCCAGGUUACCCGACGUGUUAUUUUUGGUGGGCUAAAAAUGCCAGGUCGGUGAAUCGUCAUGUAGAGAAUAAGGCCCUGCUCGGCAGCUCUCCGCUCCGCAGCUUAAUUUUUCAGAGUUGGCAAACUGGUGCUCCUCGUGCGCUUCCGUAUUCUACGGAGCCGGAUGACUGCCCAACGGGCUCUAAGUUUGCGAUGUUGU